AGGCCAUGCUAGGCUGACCAUGGGAGGAGACAGAGAUGCAUUUGCACUUGUUCAUUUUUUGGGCCAAGAAGAACAAGCCUAAUACCUCUUCUAUAUGACCAUCCUUCAAAUAAUCGAAGAUAACCAUCAUGUCCCCUCCCCUUGAAUCUUCUUUUCUCAAGGUUAAACAACCCAAUUAUUUUGGCUUCUCAUAUGACAUCCAUCCUAAGCCCUAAGGAUCAUAUGUCUACAAACUGAGACAACUUUUGCCAUUUUCUAGUCCUGUGGCCCUUGUUCUUCACAACUCUUCAAAGAUCACUAACAAUGGCACAGCAGUCACUUCUUUAAGUUCUUUUAUUACCCUGGGAUUCAUAGAGGCUUGUGGACUUGAAGUCAUAAAAAUCAGGCCAAUGUUCAUUCUUAGAAUGCAAAAUGAAUGUCUAACAGUUCUGUCUUCUCUCUGUCCUCUGGUAUCUAAAGCAGUGCUCCCAUCCUCUUUCAUACUGAGAUUUUCCCCAAUAUAAUUGGAAAAAACUCAAAACCUCAUGUUGUCUUUAGUUUUCAUCACAAUCCUGUGUUCACUCCAAGGUUUAGAGCUCCUGACACCAUUCUUAUAGGGCUAUGCUGCUUUUUUUUGUAUUCAUUCAGUCCUUCCUCAUUUUCAUCUCCUGUAUCUAUCUUCUUUUCUGUACCUGUUUUUCAAAAGUUCAAGGUGAUUGAUGAGUACCCUGUGCAUCCACAUUCUUUGAUUUAGACAACUCCCUUUUAUUAUCUCCUCAAUAGAAUAUUCUUUAUAUCUUUAGAAUCCCUUUCUUGGAUGCUUUUCAACCUUCAUGAUCUGCUUUCCUCUGUAGAAUUUUGAUAAAAAUACUUCUACAAAGUAUUUUAAUAUUGAUCCAGUGGAUUCUAUCUAUCCUUUCUCUUAACUGUAUAGGUUAUAAUAGCAAUUGCCAUUUAUGUAAUGUUUUAAGUUUUACAAAGUAUUUUAAUAUACACGAUUGAAUCUUACAACUCUAUGGGGUAAGUGCUGUGGUUAUUAUUAUCCUACUAUAUAGAGUUGAGGAAACUGAGGCAAAAAGAGGUUAUGCACUUGUCCUAGGAGCACAUGGAUAGAAAGUUCCUGAGUUGGGAUUUGACCGUAGGCAUAGCACCUUUUCCACUAUGCUGGGUGUCUUCUGAGAAUCUUAGAAUAGGAAUUAUCUUGGAGAUCAUCUAAUGUCACUUUCUCAUUUUACUGGUAAGGACACUGAAUUCCAGGGCAAGCAAUUUGCUCAAGGUUAGUAAAUGUCAGGACAAGAAUUUGGAUCCAUGUUUCAAAUAAGACCAGAAUUCUUUCCACUAUACCACAGUGUCAUUGGUGGUGACAUGGAGGUAGGAAAAGAAUAGAGAUAAAGACAUUAGUAGAGAUGCAAAUAAUAAUAAUCCAAUCAUUAAUAGGCUAUAGGAUACAUAAAGUAUUGGACUUGGAGUCAGAAAGAUCUGAGUUCAAAUCUGAUCCCAGACACUUAAUAGCUAUGCAAUCCU
Long non-coding RNA from Monodelphis domestica (gray short-tailed opossum), 1503 nucleotides. Lineage: Eukaryota; Metazoa; Chordata; Mammalia; Didelphimorphia; Didelphidae. The record is from Ensembl.